AGAGGUGGACCAUAGACACGAAGGUGGUACUCCCUAGGCAAGGCUAGUCCACUGCACUCGGGAUGUGCUGACCCCUGUGAUCUCCCCACAUGGGGGAAACUCGUCU
This 106-nucleotide small nuclear RNA is filed under the name Microcebus murinus (gray mouse lemur). Its description in RNAcentral is "U1 spliceosomal RNA (ENSMICG00000025584.3)". It matches the Rfam family "U1 spliceosomal RNA", at positions 14 to 121 of the family's 166-position model. From Rfam's summary of the family: U1 is a small nuclear RNA (snRNA) component of the spliceosome (involved in pre-mRNA splicing). Its 5' end forms complementary base pairs with the 5' splice junction, thus defining the 5' donor site of an intron. There are significant differences in sequence and secondary structure between metazoan and yeast U1 snRNAs, the latter being much longer (568 nucleotides as compared to 164 nucleotides in human). Lineage: Eukaryota; Metazoa; Chordata; Mammalia; Primates; Cheirogaleidae. The record is from RNAcentral.